UUGUUACAAUGUUAACUUUGUGGUUCAAACCUGAUGUUGCUUUCCUCUGUUUUCUCAGGUUCUUGAGAUCUAGUUCUUUGAAAUAGUCUGGAAAAGUUUCGGGCGAUAUCCUCCUGCCAUGAACUUUGUCUUUUCAUGUUUGACAUAACAGUUCUGAAACAGUCACAUCUGGACAAGGAGUUGAAUAGCUCGAGUCCCUGAAGUGACCCACGAUAUUAUUUUUGGAAAACUACAGUUUCGUACAUUCUUUCAUGUCUCGACUCAUUAUGGACGUAAUGUGCUCUACUCCAGUCCAACCCCUACAACGCUGUAGCAAUAGGAAAUGGAGGAGGAGCUAUUUGGCAUAUUCAAAUGAUAUGUCAUACAGUAGAAGUAUGGUAGCGUGGGCAUGCUUGCUUGCCCCAGUAUCUGUGCGGUAUGCCGCGUUCAUAUACUAGUCGGAACUAGGAAACUGACAUUUCCGACUUUCUUUUUCAUUCAAACGUGGCACGCUUGUAACUACAACCAGGUUCAAGUCAGAAAUGUUUGAGAUUCCAAGUUCCGACUAGCAGUUGAACAAGGCAUUAACGAUGUCGACGAUGAGUAAGUAUAACGCGCCUCCUCUACUGUCGUGUUCAAAACAACUGAGAAUUGGAAACUCGGAAAUCUCCGAGUUCAGGAAGUUCAAGACAACUGGGAACUCAGGAAGAAAACAAGCUCUGACUAGGAAAACUAAUGGUCAUCCAACUCGGAACUCCAAGUCGGAAACUCUAGCAUCUUUAGAGCUCUGACUUUCCGACCUGAAGAUCACUGAAGUCAUUAUAGCCUAUGACCUCGUUUUUUUCUGAGUUUUCAUGGUGCUUUCAAGACAAAUGGGAACUCAGAAAAGAACGAGGUCAAAUCAUGACGUCGGUAAUCUUCAGAUUGGAGCUCUAGAAAGAUGCCAGAGUUUCCGACUCGGAAUUCCAAGUUGGAUGAUCGUUGAAAAAUAUUUUUCCCAGUCUGAGCUUGUUUUUUUCCGAGUUCUCUGUUGUCUUGAACGCACUGAAGUCGGAAAUUUCCGAGUUCUCAGUUGUUUUGAACGGUGCACCAGUUGUAUUGAAAGCGCCAUAACGCCCAGGAAGCUCCAAUUCAAACGUCCAUUCAACAGGGAAAGGGCUUUAAGGACAGACCUGAUACCCAACCCGAUAACAAACACAUUAGCUCAGGGUUAAUGGUUUGGUAAAGGACAAUGACCCAACACACCUCCAGGCGGUGUAAGGGCUAUUUUACCAAGAAGGAGAGUGAUGGAGUGCUACAUCAGGUGACCUGGCCUCCACAAUCCCC
Molecule: long non-coding RNA, 1305 nt
Filed under: Salmo salar (Atlantic salmon)
Lineage: Eukaryota; Metazoa; Chordata; Actinopteri; Salmoniformes; Salmonidae
Description: lncRNA (ENSSSAG00000102252.1)
Source: RNAcentral